Long non-coding RNA from Ictalurus punctatus (channel catfish), 1529 nucleotides. The record is from Ensembl. Lineage: Eukaryota; Metazoa; Chordata; Actinopteri; Siluriformes; Ictaluridae.
UACCGAUUUGUCUUUUGGGGAAUGUUCUUCUCAGAGUGUUGGCGAGCCUCGUCCCAUCUUUGUUCUUGAAGGACUAGGCCUUUUUUGGAGGCUACUUAUAUACUAUGAUUAGACGAUUGCCUCACCUGUUUCACAUCACCUUCUUAUUUCAACUUGUCACAUCGCUAUUAGUCCUAAAUUGCCCUUGUCCCAACUUUUUUGGAAUGUGUGCAUGCAUCAAUUUCAAAAUAAAUCUUUACCUUCAAAAAACUAUGCAGUUGAUCAGGUAAAACAUCAAAUACCUUGUCUUUAAAAGUUUUUUGUUUGUUUGUUUAAAUACAAGUCAAAGUACAUUUACAAAUCAUUCCUCUUUUUUUAUUAGCAUUGUCCAUACUGUCCCAACUUUUUCGGAAUUGGGUUUGUAAAACAUAUAGAGGUCUGAUUAUUUUCUGAAGCCACAGUGCAGUUAGGGCUGAGUGUAUACAAACGUGUGAAAAUCUCAAUCCCAACACAGUACUCUGCUAUAGCCAUGCUUGGUCUAGACAGAUUUAGAAAUUAGUCAGUUGAUGAAUGCUGACUCAUUCAGAGAUUAACUAUGGUUAGAAAGCAUUUGUUUGUCUCCAACGAUGGACUUAACCGCUAACAGAGGGCAAACAGUAACUUUCAUCUAACGGAAAAGACAUGAGCUCUGCGUUCCAUUAGAAACACUAUGCUAUGACAUGAAUCAUGAAAAUAGCCCCAAUGAGUAUGCUUUCUAAAUGACUGUAAAACAGAGAUUUUGAGCUGGAGAUGAAGGUUCCUCUAAACAGGGGUAGUCAAGUAGACCAAUAAAACAUCAACGACUCUUAAAUGUGAUCGAGGGCAUUUAUCUGACAUGUACAUUCUCAGUACAUAGUGGCCUAUCCCAGGUGCACUGGGUUUAAGAUGGGAAUAUGCCCAGGAUGGGAUGCCACUCCAACAGACUAGAAUUCUUUAAACAAAUUUGUAUUAUGUAUGCCCUCACACACUGAUCCAGAAGCCAGAGUGAUUAUGACACAGAACAUUGGGUGAAUGAGUGACCAAGCACAUUGAUUGUGCUUAUCAAAAAUCUUUGAUCAUACUGUAAGACCAAAAAUAUCUGGUAACUAUAACAAUACAAUUAAAAAGAAUUUCUCCUGCUGCUCAUUACGUAAUCCUCUGGCUCAGAUUUCAUUGACCACUCAUUUCAAUUUUCAUGAUCCAUCUUCAAAGAUUUCAAACACAGUGUCUCUUAGUACAUAAUACUAAUAUAAAAUAUAUAUAAUACUAUAAUAUGAUGAAAUCAUAUUAUAAUGUCAUGCGACGUCAACUAGGAAGUGGCUUAUACUUCCAGGUAGUAAAAAAACCCCGCUAGUGUUCCAUUUCAGAUGAUACCACCUUUCGAAAAUUCAUACACUAGACAGUAGAGUACGUAGUGCAUAGUGUCAGUGUAUAAUACGUCAUUUGGGACACAACUUUUUUUAUUUUUUAUAUCUACUCUCCAAUAAUACUUUUUUGGAUUUAUUCUCCAAUGCACGUUUUUGUAAGAGAAG